UACAGAGGUCUCAAGCGUUGUUCGGAUUCAUUGGGCGUAAAGGGUGUGUAGGUGGCGCCGUAAGUCGGGUGUGAAAUUUCGGAGCUUAACUCCGAAACUGCAUUCGAUACUGCGGUGCUUGAGGACUGGAGAGGAGACUGGAAUUCGAUGGUGUAGCAGUGAAAUGCGUAGAGAUCAUGAGGAAGACCAGUGGCGAAGGCGGGUCUCUGGACAGUUCCUGACACUGAGACACGAAGGCCAGGGGAGCAAACGGG
RNAcentral lists this ribosomal RNA (254 nucleotides) under uncultured bacterium. Its description in RNAcentral is "partial 16S ribosomal RNA". It matches the Rfam family "Bacterial small subunit ribosomal RNA", at positions 524 to 776 of the family's 1533-position model. The record is from RNAcentral.